UACGUAGGGUGCAAGCGUUUGUCCGGAAUUAUUGGGCGUAAAGAGCUCGUAGGCGGUUUGUCGCGUCUGCUGUGAAACGCGGGGCUCAACUGGGCGGGGUCAGCGGAUACGGCGGAGCUUGAGCAAGCUAGGGGGCAAUGGAAUUCCCGGUGUAGUGGUGGAAUGCGUAGAUAUCGGGAGGAACACCAGUGGCGAAGGCGGUUGCCUGGGGCUUUGCUGACGCUGAUGCGCGAAAGCGUGGGGAGCGAGUCCGG
This 254-nucleotide ribosomal RNA is filed under the name uncultured bacterium. RNAcentral describes it as "partial 16S ribosomal RNA". It matches the Rfam family "Bacterial small subunit ribosomal RNA", at positions 524 to 777 of the family's 1533-position model. The record is from RNAcentral.